RNAcentral lists this ribosomal RNA (194 nucleotides) under uncultured bacterium. RNAcentral's name for it is "partial 16S ribosomal RNA". It matches the Rfam family "Bacterial small subunit ribosomal RNA", at positions 338 to 524 of the family's 1533-position model. The record is from RNAcentral.
CCUACGGGAGGCAGCAGCGGGGAAUAUUGCGCAAUGGGCGGAAGCGUGACGCAGCAACGCCGCGUGGGGGAAGAAGGCCUUCGGGUUGUAAACCCCUUUCAGGAGGGACGAAGGUUCGGCGGUGAAUAGCCGACCGGACUGACGGUACCUCCACAAGAAGCCCCGGCUAACUCCGUGCCAGCAGCCGCGGUAAU